Molecule: long non-coding RNA, 347 nt
Filed under: Gossypium raimondii (Peruvian cotton)
Lineage: Eukaryota; Viridiplantae; Streptophyta; Magnoliopsida; Malvales; Malvaceae
Description: long non-coding RNA (GRAI_LNC000515)
Source: RNAcentral
UUUAUUUUGUUGCUUGAGCUGGGGAGGUGUUGGAAUUGGACUAGAACUCUGUGGUUGAAUUUGAAUGGGGAGUUGGAGUAAAUCAAUGAGAAAAUUCAGUGGAGGGAUUGGGGGAGUUUUUGAAGGGUUUUGAAAUGGGAGAAGCGAGAGCCGAUUGAGGGGAAUUUUGUUUAGGCAAAUUCGACUAGGGAGUGCAUUUGGUGCAUUUUCGACAAUUGCUUUCUUUUAUGCCGAUUUGUUUUAUUUUCUCUCUUCUAUCGAUAGUGCCAAAUAUUGCCAUAGACCUUUUUGGGUGUUUUUCCUGUUUCGAUUUUCUUUAUUCUUUUCUCCCUGUUUCCUAUUUUUCU